Transfer RNA from Ipomoea nil (Japanese morning glory), 70 nucleotides. It matches the Rfam family "tRNA". From Rfam's summary of the family: Transfer RNA (tRNA) molecules are approximately 80 nucleotides in length. Their secondary structure includes four short double-helical elements and three loops (D, anti-codon, and T loops). Further hydrogen bonds mediate the characteristic L-shaped molecular structure. tRNAs have two regions of fundamental functional importance: the anti-codon, which is responsible for specific mRNA codon recognition, and the 3' end, to which the tRNAs corresponding amino acid is attached (by aminoacyl-tRNA synthetases). tRNAs cope with the degeneracy of the genetic code in two manners: having more than one tRNA (with a specific anti-codon) for a particular amino acid; and 'wobble' base-pairing, i.e. permitting non-standard base-pairing at the 3rd anti-codon position. The record is from Rfam. NCBI's taxonomy places the organism in Eukaryota, Viridiplantae, Streptophyta, Magnoliopsida, Solanales, Convolvulaceae.
GGGGAUGUAGCUCAGAUGGUAGAGCGCUCGCUUAGCAUGUGAGAGUUACAGGGACUUCCCUGCAUUUUUA